UAGGGAAUCUUCCGCAAUGGGCGAAAGCUUGACGGAGCAACGCCGCGUGAGUGAUGAAGGUCUUCGGAUCGUAAAACUCUGUUAUUCGGGAAGAACAAAUGUGUAAGUAACUAUGCACGUCUUGACGGUACCUAAUCAUAAAGCCACGUCUAACUACGUGCCAGCAGCCGCGGUAAUACGUAGGUGGCAAGCGUUAUCCGGAAUUAUUGGGCGUAAAGCGCGCGUAGGCGGUUUUUUAAGUUUGAUGUGAAAGCCCACGGCUCAACCGUGGAGGGUCAUUGGAAACUGGAAAACUUAAGUGCAGAAGAGGAAAGUGGAAUUCCAUGUGUAGCGGUGAAAUGCGCAGAGAUAUGGAGGAACACCAGUGGCGAAGGCGACUUUCUGGUCUGUAACUGACGCUGAUGUGCGAAAGCGUGGUGAUCAAACAGG
This 429-nucleotide ribosomal RNA is filed under the name Actinomycetes bacterium. RNAcentral's name for it is "Actinobacteria bacterium partial 16S ribosomal RNA". It matches the Rfam family "Bacterial small subunit ribosomal RNA", at positions 355 to 776 of the family's 1533-position model. Lineage: Bacteria; Bacillati; Actinomycetota; Actinomycetes. The record is from RNAcentral.